Molecule: ribosomal RNA, 2923 nt
Filed under: Klebsiella pneumoniae
Lineage: Bacteria; Pseudomonadati; Pseudomonadota; Gammaproteobacteria; Enterobacterales; Enterobacteriaceae
Description: bacterial LSU rRNA
Rfam family: Bacterial large subunit ribosomal RNA
Source: RNAcentral
GGGUUGUGAGGUUAAGCGACUAAGCGUACACGGUGGAUGCCCUGGCAGUCAGAGGCGAUGAAGGACGUGCUAAUCUGCGAAAAGCGUCGGUAAGGUGAUAUGAACCGUUAUAACCGGCGAUGUCCGAAUGGGGAAACCCAGUGCAAUUCGUUGCACUAUCGUUAACUGAAUACAUAGGUUAACGAGGCGAACCGGGGGAACUGAAACAUCUAAGUACCCCGAGGAAAAGAAAUCAACCGAGAUUCCCCCAGUAGCGGCGAGCGAACGGGGAGCAGCCCAGAGUCUGAAUCAGCUUGUGUGUUAGUGGAACGGUCUGGAAAGUCCGACGGUACAGGGUGAUAGUCCCGUACACCAAAAUGCACAGGCUGUGAACUCGAAGAGUAGGGCGGGACACGUGGUAUCCUGUCUGAAUAUGGGGGGACCAUCCUCCAAGGCUAAAUACUCCUGACUGACCGAUAGUGAACCAGUACCGUGAGGGAAAGGCGAAAAGAACCCCGGCGAGGGGAGUGAAAAAGAACCUGAAACCGUGUACGUACAAGCAGUGGGAGCACCUUCGGGUGUGACUGCGUACCUUUUGUAUAAUGGGUCAGCGACUUAUAUUCUGUAGCAAGGUUAACCGUAUAGGGGAGCCGCAGGGAAACCGAGUCUUAACUGGGCGUUAAGUUGCAGGGUAUAGACCCGAAACCCGGUGAUCUAGCCAUGGGCAGGUUGAAGGUUGGGUAACACUAACUGGAGGACCGAACCGACUAAUGUUGAAAAAUUAGCGGAUGACUUGUGGCUGGGGGUGAAAGGCCAAUCAAACCGGGAGAUAGCUGGUUCUCCCCGAAAGCUAUUUAGGUAGCGCCUCGUGAACUCAUCUUCGGGGGUAGAGCACUGUUUCGGCUAGGGGGUCAUCCCGACUUACCAACCCGAUGCAAACUACGAAUACCGAAGAAUGUUAUCACGGGAGACACACGGCGGGUGCUAACGUCCGUCGUGAAGAGGGAAACAACCCAGACCGCCAGCUAAGGUCCCAAAGUCAUGGUUAAGUGGGAAACGAUGUGGGAAGGCACAGACAGCCAGGAUGUUGGCUUAGAAGCAGCCAUCAUUUAAAGAAAGCGUAAUAGCUCACUGGUCGAGUCGGCCUGCGCGGAAGAUGUAACGGGGCUAAACCAUGCACCGAAGCUGCGGCAGCGACACUAUGUGUUGUUGGGUAGGGGAGCGUUCUGUAAGCCUGCGAAGGUGUGCUGUGAGGCAUGCUGGAGGUAUCAGAAGUGCGAAUGCUGACAUAAGUAACGAUAAAGCGGGUGAAAAGCCCGCUCGCCGGAAGACCAAGGGUUCCUGUCCAACGUUAAUCGGGGCAGGGUGAGUCGACCCCUAAGGCGAGGCCGAAAGGCGUAGUCGAUGGGAAACAGGUUAAUAUUCCUGUACUUGGUGUUACUGCGAAGGGGGGACGGAGAAGGCUAUGUUAGCCGGGCGACGGUUGUCCCGGUUUAAGCAUGUAGGCUGGUUGUCCAGGCAAAUCCGGAUAAUCAAGGCUGAGGUGUGAUGACGAGGCACUACGGUGCUGAAGUAACAAAUGCCCUGCUUCCAGGAAAAGCCUCUAAGCAUCAGGUAACAUUAAAUCGUACCCCAAACCGACACAGGUGGUCAGGUAGAGAAUACCAAGGCGCUUGAGAGAACUCGGGUGAAGGAACUAGGCAAAAUGGUGCCGUAACUUCGGGAGAAGGCACGCUGGUGUGUAGGUGAAGCCCCUGCGGGUGGAGCUGAGACCAGUCGAAGAUACCAGCUGGCUGCAACUGUUUAUUAAAAACACAGCACUGUGCAAACACGAAAGUGGACGUAUACGGUGUGACGCCUGCCCGGUGCCGGAAGGUUAAUUGAUGGGGUUAUCCGUAAGGAGAAGCUCUUGAUCGAAGCCCCGGUAAACGGCGGCCGUAACUAUAACGGUCCUAAGGUAGCGAAAUUCCUUGUCGGGUAAGUUCCGACCUGCACGAAUGGCGUAAUGAUGGCCAGGCUGUCUCCACCCGAGACUCAGUGAAAUUGAACUCGCUGUGAAGAUGCAGUGUACCCGCGGCAAGACGGAAAGACCCCGUGAACCUUUACUAUAGCUUGACACUGAACAUUGAGCCUUGAUGUGUAGGAUAGGUGGGAGGCUUUGAAGCGUGGACGCCAGUCUGCGUGGAGCCAACCUUGAAAUACCACCCUUUAAUGUUUGAUGUUCUAACGUUGGCCCCUGACCGGGGUUGCGGACAGUGUCUGGUGGGUAGUUUGACUGGGGCGGUCUCCUCCCAAAGCGUAACGGAGGAGCACGAAGGUUAGCUAAUCCUGGUCGGACAUCAGGAGGUUAGUGCAAUGGCAUAAGCUAGCUUGACUGCGAGCGUGACGGCGCGAGCAGGUGCGAAAGCAGGUCAUAGUGAUCCGGUGGUUCUGAAUGGAAGGGCCAUCGCUCAACGGAUAAAAGGUACUCCGGGGAUAACAGGCUGAUACCGCCCAAGAGUUCAUAUCGACGGCGGUGUUUGGCACCUCGAUGUCGGCUCAUCACAUCCUGGGGCUGAAGUAGGUCCCAAGGGUAUGGCUGUUCGCCAUUUAAAGUGGUACGCGAGCUGGGUUUAGAACGUCGUGAGACAGUUCGGUCCCUAUCUGCCGUGGGCGCUGGAGAAUUGAGGGGGGCUGCUCCUAGUACGAGAGGACCGGAGUGGACGCAUCACUGGUGUUCGGGUUGUCAUGCCAAUGGCACUGCCCGGUAGCUAAAUGCGGAAGAGAUAAGUGCUGAAAGCAUCUAAGCACGAAACUUGCCCCGAGAUGAGUUCUCCCUGAGACUUUAAGUCUCCUGAAGGAACGUUAAAGACGAUGACGUUGAUAGGCCGGGUGUGUAAGCGCAGCGAUGCGUUGAGCUAACCGGUACUAAUGAACCGUGAGGCUUAACCUUACAACGCCGAAG